RNAcentral lists this unclassified non-coding RNA (405 nucleotides) under soil metagenome. RNAcentral describes it as "partial contains 5.8S ribosomal RNA, internal transcribed spacer 2, and large subunit ribosomal RNA". The stretch from base 1 to 121 matches the Rfam family "5.8S ribosomal RNA", at positions 35 to 154 of the family's 154-position model. The record is from RNAcentral.
GAUGAAGAACGCAGCGAAAUGCGAUAAGUAAUGUGAAUUGCAGAAUUCAGUGAAUCAUCGAAUCUUUGAACGCACCUUGCGCCCUUUGGCUAUUCCAGAGGGCAUGCCUGUUUGAGUAUCAUGAACACCUCAACUCUCAUGGUUCUGCCAUGAUGAGCUUGGACUUUGGAGGUCUUGCUGGCCCCUGUGGUCAGCUCCUCUCAAAUGGAUCAGCUUGCCAGUGUUUGGUGGCAUCACAGGUGUGAUAACUAUCUACGCUUGUGGUUUUCCACCAGGUAACCUUCAGUGAUGGAGGUUCGCUGGAGCUCAUAAACGUCUCUCCUCAGCGAGGACAGCUUCUUGAACGUUUGAUCUCAAAUCAGGUAGGGCUACCCGCUGAACUUAAGCAUAUCAAUGAGCGGAGGA